UACGUAGGGUGCGAGCGUUAAUCGGAAUUACUGGGCGUAAAGAGUGCGUAGGCGGUUCGUUAUGUCUGCUGUGAAAGCCCCGGGCUUAACCCGGGAAUGGCAGUGGAACUGGCGGGCUUGAGUGUGGCAGAGGGGGGUGGAAUUCCGCGUGUAGCAGUGAAAUGCGUAGAGAUGCGGAGGAACACCGAUGGCGAAAGGCAGCCCCCCUGGGCCAAUACUGACGCUCAUGCACGAAAGCGUGGGGAGCAAACAGG
Molecule: ribosomal RNA, 254 nt
Filed under: uncultured bacterium
Lineage: Bacteria
Description: partial 16S ribosomal RNA
Rfam family: Bacterial small subunit ribosomal RNA
Source: RNAcentral